GGUGAACGCUGGCGGCGUGCCUAAUACAUGCAAGUCGAACGCAUAGCGAAAGGUGCUUGCACCUUUCAAGUGAGUGGCGAACGGGUGAGUAACACGUGGACAACCUGCCUCAAGGCUGGGGAUAACAUUUGGAAACAGAUGCUAAUACCGAAUAAAACUUAGUGUCGCAUGACACAAAGUUAAAAGGCGCUUCGGCGUCACCUAGAGAUGGAUCCGCGGUGCAUUAGUUAGUUGGUGGGGUAAAGGCCUACCAAGACAAUGAUGCAUAGCCGAGUUGAGAGACUGAUCGGCCACAUUGGGACUGAGACACGGCCCAAACUCCUACGGGAGGCUGCAGUAGGGAAUCUUCCACAAUGGGCGAAAGCCUGAUGGAGCAACGCCGCGUGUGUGAUGAAGGCUUUCGGGUCGUAAAGCACUGUUGUAUGGGAAGAACAGCUAGAAUAGGAAAUGAUUUUAGUUUGACGGUACCAUACCAGAAAGGGACGGCUAAAUACGUG
RNAcentral lists this ribosomal RNA (497 nucleotides) under uncultured bacterium. Its description in RNAcentral is "partial 16S ribosomal RNA". It matches the Rfam family "Bacterial small subunit ribosomal RNA", at positions 28 to 507 of the family's 1533-position model. The record is from RNAcentral.